GGGGUUGGGGGUUGGGGGCUCCGGUCUUGUUCGAACCGUGUCCGGGUCGCUAUACUUCAGCCUUAGCGCCGGGCUCACGAGGCGUGUUUGCACGGUGAUGUGCAUGAGACCGUCUCUUGCUAAACUAGUUGCCCGAGUUCUGCCUCUGGGACCCGGACCAGCGAGCUGAAAUUCCCCCAGGCUCGGGGACAACCCUUCUGAAGGAGGUUUGGGUCCUGGAAGCCCUCCUCAAGAGAGGAGGCUUUGCUACCGAGUCGAACUCUUUGCUCCGCGUUGUCAGCCACAGCUGCAGGGUGGAAUUACGUGAUUAAACCUGCUCGAUGCCUGGCUCCACCUCCGGAGAUUCGGAGUCAUUGGUCUUGGGCAAGUCCUAAGCAUCUGGCUCUCUUUUUGUUGUUUAAGUUCCCCGGCUACUUUCAAGUCCACGGGGGUUGAAAACCACUGGUUUAGGCGUACUUCCAGUCUUCGGCCAUGCGUAUAAAGAGCAGUUCCCCCUUCCUACCUCCAUGCCAUAAUCGUAGACCAACGCAAGACCCAGUUGGACCAUCACCAGGUGCAGAGAAUUAAAUGGCUUUCCCCCGCCUCACUUAACCACUUGAAGUGUUUCAGCCAGUGAAAUGGAGUGUCAAUGGCCUUGGGCCCGAUCUACCUGUAAACUCUUUCAGUCUAACAGGUGAACAGUUUGACUUAAUGAUCAAUCAGCCUCCAUCCUGGCUGGGAAAGCAGUUUCAGUGAGUGCUCAACUUAAUUGGUUUGUGCCCACGCGGGACCUCCAGGGGGAUAUACACCAGUCAAAUGGCCUCAGUUUCUUGCUGUUUAAAAAGGAAUCAUCUAAAAAAAAGGCAGACUUGUACCGUGUAGCUGCCACCGUCAUUUCUGCAACAAUUCUAACUGCAUCACUGGCUCUUCGGGGUCACUCAGGGGAAGGAAGCCUGUGCUGCUCCCACCCAGAGGGCCUGCCUUGGAGUGCUUUGCAUGCUGCCUCACCCCGCCAGCACUGCCUCUGCACAGCCUGGACCUCCUCAGAAAGGACUAGAUGCUGGACUCUACAUCCAGGAAAGAAGCCACUAGCACCUCUGCCAUAUAACAAUUUGAGGAUUUGCAGACCUAGCUUGAAGUCAAAAGGCAAGGAAGAUUAGCCCUGAGCUAACUGCUGCCAAUCCUCCUCUUUUUGCUGAGAAAGACUGGCCCUGAGCUAACAUCUGUGCCCAUCUUCCUCUACUUUACGUGUGGGACGCCUGCCGCAGCAUGGCUUGUCAAGUGGUGCCAUGUCCCCACCCGGAACCCGAACUGGCGAACCCUGGGCUGCUGAGAAGCAGAACGUGGGCACUUAACUGCUGUGCCACGGGGCUGGCCUGAGAAUCUUUCACAUUCUGAGAGAACUACGAAAGAAGAUUGAGGACUGGAAAUAGAAUUGUUUAGAUAUAAAUCUGCACUUAUGCCCAAUUCUUUCUCUUCGAUUACUACAAAAUUUCCUGAUCAUUCACUCUUUCUGUCAUUUCCCAGCUCCAGAAAUGAAGUCUACAGCCAGCGGUUGGCCUUCUGUGCACCUGGUGAGUCUUAACUAACACCAAGGAGCCAACAAGGGGAGAGGUUGUAAUUUUGGAAGAGCAAAGGGUAGAUAAAGACUGUCUGUGGAUGCAUUUGAGUAAAGAUCUUUAGAAUGCAAGAGAGCAAGCUAUACAGGUAUCUGAGGGAAAAGCAUUUCCAGCAGAAGGAAUAGAAAAUGCAAAGUCUUUGAGGCACGUUUGAGGAAGGGAAGAAAGCUAGAAUGGCUGGAGCAGAGUAAGCUAGAGGCAGAAUAGUAGAAGUGGAUUAUAAAAUAUUGUGUAAUUUAAAAGAAUGUUUACAUUUAACAAAUUAAAAUUUAAAAUGGAAAUACAAUGUAAUAUAACCAUGCUUUCCACAAGAUAAUUACAAUAAUUAUUCAAAA
Equus asinus (donkey) is the source of this 1933-nucleotide long non-coding RNA. The record is from Ensembl. Lineage: Eukaryota; Metazoa; Chordata; Mammalia; Perissodactyla; Equidae.